Molecule: ribosomal RNA, 371 nt
Filed under: uncultured bacterium
Lineage: Bacteria
Description: bacterial SSU rRNA
Rfam family: Bacterial small subunit ribosomal RNA
Source: RNAcentral
AGAGGGGGGAAGCGUUGCUCGGAAUCACUGGGCGUAAAGGGCGCGUAGGCGGGAAGCCAAGUCGGUCGUGAAAUCUCCGGGCUCAACCCGGAGGAGUCGGCCGAAACUGGUUUUCUUGAGGGAGGCAGAGGAGUCUGGAAUUCCCGGUGUAGCGGUGAAAUGUGUAGAGAUCGGGAGGAACACCGGUGGCGAAGGCGGGACUCUGGGCCUACCCUGACGCUGAGGCGCGAAGGCGUGGGGAGCAAACGGGAUUAGAUACCCCGGUAGUCCACGCGGUAAACGAUGACGACUAGGUGUGGGGGGGUUCAGUCCCUUCCGUGCCGCAGCUAACGCAUUAAGUCGUCCGCCUGGGGAGUACGGCCGCAAGGUUG